This is a non-coding RNA of Salvelinus fontinalis (brook trout), 591 nucleotides long. Lineage: Eukaryota; Metazoa; Chordata; Actinopteri; Salmoniformes; Salmonidae. The record is from the annotation of a RefSeq genome assembly.
GGAGGUGAUUUGCAUUGGCAGCUCAUGCUUCAGUGCUCUGGGAGUGUUUAUAACCCUGUGAGUUUCAGACUGCAGGACUGAGAUCUGUCCAUCAACACAACAGAAACCACGACAACCAUGACUCUGAUCACCUUCUUCAUCUGGACACUGGUCUGCUGCUGCCUCAAGGGAUCCAGAGGUCAGGUGACUGUGACUCAGCCUCCUGUAGUGACCUUUUCUCCAGGAGACCUUGUCACUCUGACCUGUACAACCAACCCUAAAGUGUACAAAUUGGCUGAUUUAUUGGAGAGUGCUUUCUGGUAUCAACAGAGACCUGGAGAAGCUCCCAAACUCUUGAUAGAAUAUGGAAAUAAACUGCUAGAUGGGAUUCCUGCUAGAUUCAGUGGCAGUGGGUCUGAGAGUGACUUCACUCUGACCAUCAGUGGAGUCCAGGCUGAAGAUGCAGCAGUUUACUACUGUCAGAGUUACCAUGAGCUCAAUGAUAAAGAUGUGUUCACACAGUGAUUUAGAGUCAUACAAAAACCUUCCUCAGUCAGACUGCACAGAGACUGUACUGCUGCAGCUGGGACCUACUGCAGGUGUUGAGGAGCA